UUAUUAACGACUCUCGACAACGGAUAUCUCGGCUCUCGCAUCGAUGAAGAACGUAGCGAAAUGCGAUACUUGGUGUGAAUUGCAGAAUCCCGUGAACCAUCGAGUCUUUGAACGCAAGUUGCGCCCGAAGCCUUCUGGCCGAGGGCACGUCUGCCUGGGCGUCAUG
RNAcentral lists this ribosomal RNA (166 nucleotides) under Plumbago auriculata (Cape leadwort). RNAcentral describes it as "5.8S ribosomal RNA". It matches the Rfam family "5.8S ribosomal RNA". Rfam says of the family: 5.8S ribosomal RNA (5.8S rRNA) is a component of the large subunit of the eukaryotic ribosome. It is transcribed by RNA polymerase I as part of the 45S precursor that also contains 18S and 28S rRNA. The record is from RNAcentral. Lineage: Eukaryota; Viridiplantae; Streptophyta; Magnoliopsida; Caryophyllales; Plumbaginaceae.